CAGCAGCCACGGUAAUACGAAGGGUGCAAGCGUUAAUCGGAAUUACUGGGCGUAAAGCGUGCGUAGGCGGUGAGUUAAGUCUGCUGUGAAAUCCCCGGGCUCAACCUGGGAAUGGCAGUGGAUACUGGCUCGCUAGAGUGUGUCAGAGGAUGGUGGAAUUCCCGGUGUAGCGGUGAAGUGCGUAGAGAUCGGGAGGAACAUCAGUGGCGAAGGCGGCCAUCUGGGACAACACUGACGCUGAGGCACGAAAGCGUGGGGAGCAAACAGGAUUAGAUACCCGUGUAGUCCCUGUCUCUUAUAC
RNAcentral lists this ribosomal RNA (301 nucleotides) under uncultured bacterium. RNAcentral's name for it is "partial 16S ribosomal RNA". It matches the Rfam family "Bacterial small subunit ribosomal RNA", at positions 509 to 807 of the family's 1533-position model. The record is from RNAcentral.